GAGUUUGAUUCUGGCUCAGGAUGAACGCUAGCGAUAGGCUUAACACAUGCAAGUCGAGGGGCAGCAUAGAGUCAGCUUGCUGAUUUGGAUGGCGACCGGCGGAUGGGUGCGUAACGCGUAUGCAACUUACCUGUCAGAGGGGGAUAACCCGGAGAAAUUCGGACUAAUACCGCAUAUACUUGAGAUACUGCAUGGUGUUUCAAGGAAAUAUUUAUAGCUGACAGAUAGGCAUGCGUUCCAUUAGCUAGUAGGUGAGGUAACGGCUCACCUAGGCGACGAUGGAUAGGGGAACUGAGAGGUUAAACCCCCACACUGGUACUGAGACACGGACCAGACUCCUACGGGAGGCAGCAGUGAGGAAUAUUGGUCAAUGGGCGAGAGCCUGAACCAGCCAAUUCGCGUGAAGGAUGACUGCCCUAUGGGUUGUAAACUUCUUUAGUAGGGGAUUAAAGUUUGCCUUGCGAGGCAA
Molecule: ribosomal RNA, 469 nt
Filed under: Porphyromonas canoris
Lineage: Bacteria; Pseudomonadati; Bacteroidota; Bacteroidia; Bacteroidales; Porphyromonadaceae
Description: bacterial SSU rRNA
Rfam family: Bacterial small subunit ribosomal RNA
Source: RNAcentral